RNAcentral lists this ribosomal RNA (253 nucleotides) under uncultured bacterium. RNAcentral's name for it is "partial 16S ribosomal RNA". It matches the Rfam family "Bacterial small subunit ribosomal RNA", at positions 524 to 776 of the family's 1533-position model. The record is from RNAcentral.
UACGAAGGUGGCAAGCGUUAUUCGGAUUUACUGGGCAUAAAGCGCGCGUAGGCGGCUUGGCAAGUCGGGGGUGAAAGCCCGCAGCUCAACUGCGGAACUGCCUUCGAUACUGCCGGGCUUGAGGGCGGGAGGGGUGAUUGGAACUCCAGGUGUAGCGGUGAAAUGCGUAGAUAUCUGGAGGAACACCGGAGGCGAAGGCGAAUCACUGGACCGCUUCUGACGCUGAGGCGCGAAAGCUAGGGGAGCAAACAGG